AUUGAACGCUGGCGGCAGGCCUAACACAUGCAAGUCGAGCGACCGGCGGACGGGUGAGUAAUGUAUGGGGACUGCCCGUUGGAGGGGGAUAACUACUGGAAGCGGUAGCUAAUACCGCAUACUACAGGAUAACCCAUAUGGGAUUAGCUAGUAGGUGAGGUAAUGGCUCACGUAGGCGACGAUCCCUAGCUGGUCUGAGAGGAUGAUCAGCCACACUGGAACUGAGACACGGCCCAGACUCCUACGGAGGCAGCAGUGGGGAAUAUUGGACAAUGGGCGCAAGCCUGAUGCAGCCAUGCCGCGUGUAUGAAGAAGGCCCUAGGGUUGUAAAGUACUUUAAGUCGGGAGGCGUUACCGACAGAAGAAGCACCGGCUAACUCCGUGCCAGCAGCCGCGGUAAUUC
This 403-nucleotide ribosomal RNA is filed under the name uncultured bacterium. Its description in RNAcentral is "partial 16S ribosomal RNA". It matches the Rfam family "Bacterial small subunit ribosomal RNA", at positions 30 to 526 of the family's 1533-position model. The record is from RNAcentral.